Molecule: non-coding RNA, 492 nt
Organism: Drosophila melanogaster (fruit fly)
Lineage: Eukaryota; Metazoa; Arthropoda; Insecta; Diptera; Drosophilidae
Source: Ensembl
AGCAGGCGGAGCAACAUGCUGCAAACACACAGCUCAGUCAAGGGAAGAAGGGACCCUGGUCACAUAUUGAUGUCCUACGGAACGGAGAGGCCAGCCCAUCUGAACUCAACUGACUGACUGACAGUUGACAGUUCGGCGAGGGACGUUCAGGGAACUUGGACUGGGAUGUGGGACAUGGGUUGCUAUGGGACUGGGACUGGGACUGCGAAUGGUGGUACUCCGACUCUAGAUUCGAGCCAAGCUGUCUGGCAAGGCAACGUUGUUGCCGCUGUUGCCAUAAAGAUAAACGACCAGCAUUUGACAAUUAAAGCAAAACAAAGUGUGGCACCUUAUCGCCACAGAGGUGCCAAUGAAAUGGGAGGGACGACUCGCCAAUUGGUUGAGGAGGGACUGGAAGUGAGGGAGUUCCGGCUAAGGAUUAUCAGCAAUUUCCACGCGACAUAUGUUGGUGGUCACUUUGCCGGAAAUUUGCUACACGUGCUUUAUAAAGUU